AAAUUGAAGAGUUUGAUCAUGGCUCAGAUUGAACGCUGGCGGCAGGCCUAACACAUGCAAGUCGAACGGUAACAGGAAGCAGCUUGCUGCUUCGCUGACGAGUGGCGGACGGGUGAGUAAUGUCUGGGAAACUGCCUGAUGGAGGGGGAUAACUACUGGAAACGGUGGCUAAUACCGCAUAAUGUCGCAAGACCAAAGAGGGGGACCUUCGGGCCUCUUGCCAUCAGAUGUGCCCAGAUGGG
This 242-nucleotide ribosomal RNA is filed under the name Salmonella enterica. RNAcentral's name for it is "partial 16S ribosomal RNA". It matches the Rfam family "Bacterial small subunit ribosomal RNA", at positions 1 to 239 of the family's 1533-position model. Lineage: Bacteria; Pseudomonadati; Pseudomonadota; Gammaproteobacteria; Enterobacterales; Enterobacteriaceae. The record is from RNAcentral.